AUUGAACGCUGGCGGCAGGCCUAACACAUGCAAGUCGAACGGUAACAGGAAACAGCUUGCUGUUUCGCUGACGAGUGGCGGACGGGUGAGUAAUGUCUGGGAAACUGCCUGAUGGAGGGGGAUAACUACUGGAAACGGUAGCUAAUACCGCAUAACGUCGCAAGACCAAAGAGGGGGACCUUCGGGCCUCUUGCCAUCGGAUGUGCCCAGAUGGGAUUAGCUAGUAGGUGGGGUAACGGCUCACCUAGGCGACGAUCCCUAGCUGGUCUGAGAGGAUGACCAGCCACACUGGAACUGAGACACGGUCCAGACUCCUACGGGAGGCAGCAGUGGGGAAUAUUGCACAAUGGGCGCAAGCCUGAUGCAGCCAUGCCGCGUGUAUGAAGAAGGCCUUCGGGUUGUAAAGUACUUUCAGCGGGGAGGAAGGGAGUAAAGAUAAUACCUUUGCUCAUUGACGUUACCCGCAGAAGAAGCACCGGCUAACUCCGUG
RNAcentral lists this ribosomal RNA (490 nucleotides) under uncultured bacterium. Its description in RNAcentral is "partial 16S ribosomal RNA". It matches the Rfam family "Bacterial small subunit ribosomal RNA", at positions 30 to 507 of the family's 1533-position model. The record is from RNAcentral.